RNAcentral lists this ribosomal RNA (467 nucleotides) under uncultured bacterium. Its description in RNAcentral is "partial 16S ribosomal RNA". It matches the Rfam family "Bacterial small subunit ribosomal RNA", at positions 28 to 507 of the family's 1533-position model. The record is from RNAcentral.
GACGAACGCUGGCGGCGUGCUUAACACAUGCAAGUCGAACGGAAAGGCCUCUUUCGGGGGGUACUCGAGUGGCGAACGGGUGAGUAACACGUGAGUAACCUGCCCUUGACUUUGGGAUAACUUCAGGAAACUGGGGCUAAUACCGGAUAGGAGCUCCUGCUGCAUGGGGGGGGGUGGAAAGUUUCGGCGGUUGGGGAUGGACUCGCGGCUUAUCAGCUUGUUGGUGGGGGAGUGGCUUACCAAGGCUUUGACGGGUAGCCGGCCUGAGAGGGUGACCGGCCACAUUGGGACUGAGAGACGGCCCAGACUCCUACGGGAGGCAGCAGUGGGGAAUAUUGCACAAUGGGUGGAAGCCUGAUGCAGCAACGCCGUGUGCGGGAUGACGGCCUUCGGGUUGUAAACCGCUUUCGCUCAUGACGAAGCUUUGUGUGACGGUAGUGGGUAAAGAAGCACCGGCUAACUACGUG